UAAUAAGUGUUUAUGGCACUUCUUAAAUCCAUAUCCACCUUGUGUGCAAUGUCAGCCGUUUUCUUUAUGAAAGCGGCCAAACAUCAACUUAUUUUUUAACUGUCUGUCUGAAAAAUAUUAUGGAUAAACAAUUCAAAUA
RNAcentral lists this unclassified non-coding RNA (139 nucleotides) under soil metagenome. Its description in RNAcentral is "partial internal transcribed spacer 1". The record is from RNAcentral.